RNAcentral lists this ribosomal RNA (119 nucleotides) under Anolis carolinensis (green anole). The record is from RNAcentral. Lineage: Eukaryota; Metazoa; Chordata; Lepidosauria; Squamata; Anolidae.
CUUUAGGGCUUAAAUACUCUAACACCACCAGAUCCCACCUGAUCUUGAAAACUAAGAAGGGCAAGGCCAGGUUAGUACUUGAAUGGGAUAUCAUCAAGGAAUGCCAGGGGCUGUCAGCU